UCAAUGCCCUGGCCACUCACUUUCUGAUGUUGCACGACGGGAAAUGCUUUGAAUACUUGCGACAUGGCCGCUCGCAUUGAUUGCCAAGAUUGACAGCUCUGCAUCGUCUUCUCUUGUCUCAGAGAGAGAGGGAGAUAAAGAGGAUAGAGAACAACAAAAGCUCCUUGCAGUUUUGACAAUUAAACUUCAUAGAAAGAACGGGAUCCCCUCAUAUAGCCAGUGGGAACCACAGCAGACUUUAGUUCUCUUUCCUUUUCUCUACAGAUAGUAAUCAUUAUGUUUUAACAUAAUACAGCGUGAAACACACGACUCGGGAUACGAUACCGUCAGGACCUGCAUCUCUCUUUUCUCCACUGAUCUCAAGAACUAUCUGCACGUGGACUUCAGAGGAACUUGUGGUUUUGCGAGAGAGAAAAACAUUUCCGAACUGGAUCCGGGCAUAAAGAUAUCGACUCCCUGACGCAUAUGGUGCCAGUCACUUUCAUGAGUUCAAAAUCAACUAACCAGUGAUCGCUGGGUGCUGGGUGCUGGGUGCUGGGUGCUGGGGAUUUAGUCUUUCUGUUUGUAAUCCCACACGCUGACAUGGAGGGCUUUCUUCGUAGCAGCUUUUUACUGAG
Molecule: long non-coding RNA, 617 nt
Organism: Coregonus clupeaformis (lake whitefish)
Lineage: Eukaryota; Metazoa; Chordata; Actinopteri; Salmoniformes; Salmonidae
Exons: 4
Source: RefSeq, a predicted model, not a curated record